UUUCCGUAGGUGAACCUGCGGAAGGAUCAUUAUUGUAUAACCAAGGUGCAAGGCCUGUCGCUGACCCACUACUUCGUGCAGGCACGAGGGCCCGCCGACACAUGCAUAUCACCCCUAUGUGCACCACGGCGCGGGUCCCCCUUUAGCUUGUUCGGAGGGGGGGUUACGUUUUUUCACAAACUUUGAAUGCAGUGUAGGAUGUCUUUUUUGUUUUUUCGAACUCGCAAUCAGUCCAACUUUCAACAACGGUUCUCUUGGCACUCGCAUCGAGGAGGAACG
This 279-nucleotide unclassified non-coding RNA is filed under the name plant metagenome. RNAcentral's name for it is "partial contains small subunit ribosomal RNA, internal transcribed spacer 1, and 5.8S ribosomal RNA". The record is from RNAcentral.